AGAGCGUGUGAUGAUCAACAAGGGACUUAAUACUGAUCAUGUAUGAUGUCACCUUUUGUAAUGAUCUGAUGCUA
Molecule: small nucleolar RNA, 74 nt
Filed under: Mola mola (ocean sunfish)
Lineage: Eukaryota; Metazoa; Chordata; Actinopteri; Tetraodontiformes; Molidae
Description: Small nucleolar RNA SNORD82 (ENSMMOG00000008551.1)
Source: RNAcentral